Long non-coding RNA from Triticum aestivum (bread wheat), 5033 nucleotides. RefSeq lists it as uncharacterized. NCBI's taxonomy places the organism in Eukaryota, Viridiplantae, Streptophyta, Magnoliopsida, Poales, Poaceae. The transcript has 13 exons. The record is from RefSeq and is a predicted model, not a curated record.
GGCUCCGCCCGCCGCCACCGCCUCCGCCCCGGCUAUAAAGGUCCGCCCUUUGGCCGGUCCGCUCCUCCUCUCUCCAUCCGGGCCGCGCCUCUCGCCUCCUUCAUUCAUCCUCCGCUCGUCCGGGUCGCGCCCUUUGGCUGUACCUCCGCGUGCUGGUCUCCAAUUCCAAGUCCAUCCGCCCGCUCGCGCCCUGCUCCCUCUCCGCCUGCGGGGCCGCGCCGCUCCCCGAGGACGCGGGCGGGCGCCCGGGGCUCGGCCAAGUGGCGGGCGACCGGCGGCGGGGGCACCAGCGUCGUGCGCCAGCUGCAUGCGCGCGCUCGUCCUCGACUCGUUCCUCUCCUCCUCUCGCGUCCGGUGAGGCGACUCGUCCUCGAUUCUUGCCUCUCCUCGUGUCGCGUCUGGUGAGGCAAUUCGUCCUUGAUUCAUGCCUCUCCUCCUCUCGCCUCUGUUUCUAUGUUGCUCGUCCUCGCUCGAUUCGUCCGUUUAGAGUAGAAGAAUCGCGUCUGGUUUGUUUCAUUUCGCUCGUCCUCGAUUCGACUGUCUUGAAGCGCGUCUGAUUUUAUCGGUUUUGCUCGUCCUCGAUUCGUCCGUUUAGUUAGAAAUCGCGUGCGUCUGGUUUGACUUGCUCGUCCUUGCCGUCGCCCGUUUAGAAGCGCUUCUGAUAUGAUUUUGCUCGUCCUCACUGUCGCCCUGAUGUUGUCGCGUGUUCUUGGGGCCGUCUCGUCGGGGGUCUCCGUCCCUGCGACUUUAGGAGGAAGCGAGCGAGCGGUCUGUCGGUUUGGGUCACCGUCUUGUUUGCGAGCUAGCAGGUCUGUUUGAGAAACUUGUGCGUGCGCUGCUGUUAUCUGACGAUCCCGGGUUUCGUUUUCGCGGUGGGAGCGAUGGUUCCUGCGUUUCUGGUUGAGAAACUUUGCGUGCGCUAUCUGACGAUCUUGCGUUUCGUGUUCGCGUCGGGGAGACGGUUGCAGGAACGAUCGGUUCUGGUUUCGAAACUGGAGCAGUGUCAAAUCGGUUCCUCUGUUCCUCUGAAACUCAUGCGCCCUUGUGAUACUCUGGUGAUUCUUGUUCUACCGCCAGGCGUGUGUGCUCCCAUCCUAGACGCAGCGAAUCUUUUUCUUGUCUGUUACGGUUGUUCUGAUGGUGUUCUUUUCAACUUGUUUCUUGCUAUCAUGCUUUGCUUAUGUUCCAAUAUAUGAUGAUGUGUGUUCAACUUGUUUCUUGUUAUCUUGCUUUGCUUAUGUUCCAAUAUAUGAUGAUUCGUGUUCAGGUGUGCAAACCAUGUAGGCCGUGGGUACCGUGAUGCGAGGCUUCUCUCCUGCUGACAAAUUAGGAUGAUCAGAAAAGCUUGACUCUUGUAGCAAUCACUUGCUUGGUUUACACUUCUUUGCGUGGCCGAUUUGGCAUCCAAUGCAUCAUAAUCACAUUUUCCCUGUUUGUUUUCAUAUCCAAUGCAUCCACUCAUCAGUUCCCUGUUUGUUUUCCCUUGUUUUCCUAAUCAAUGAUCAUGUUUACGGUGUGCGACAAUACUGCAUUUCUACUGUUCUUUCUUCCCUUUUGAAGUUCGCUGAUUCAAACCUGAUGUGGAAGGAAGGAAUAUUGAUAUCAUUUCUGUGUUAGUAUACUAGCCAUGGUGUUUUUUUUCAAGUUAUUAACCAUAUCUCUUACUCCCUCCGUAAACUAAUAUAAGAGUUUUUAGAUCACUAGUUUAGUUAUCUAAACGCUCUUAUAUUAGUUUACAGAGGGAGUACAAAUUUGCCUUGAGAUGCUACAUGUUUAUAUGGCAUCAUUGAUUGCUGUUUGUGUAUGGUUAUUACGAUUGAUUGAUUGAUUGUUGUUUGUUGUUUGUUGACUGAUUGAUUGAUUGUUGUUUGCUGUUUGUUGAUUGAUUGAUUGAUUGUUGUUUGUUGAUUGGUAUCGAACUUUGGUAUUGGUAGUUUCUGAUCAUAGGUAACUGCACUAUUCUUUUCUCUCAGCUUUGUUGUGAUUAUGUCUUAUGUGGAUAUCCUUUCUUUUUUCUGUAUUACUGCUGUCCAGUCACUGGAAUGACGCUUUUCUAAGUAUUUAAGGUACAUACAUGUGGAUCUGGACAUGUCACAUUUGCUCUUUAUUGUGUUGCGAAGGAGGGUUGGCAUAUAGCGCAGCCGUGGAUCGCUCAUCAACCUGAUGAACUCUUUCUGGAUAGGACAGAGGUACAAUGUUUGCAUCCAUGGCAGAAGGUUCUUAUGAUUGUUCAAAGGUCCUUGCUCAUCAAAGGUCCUUAGACUCAAGAGGAAGGUGACAAAAUUAUUGAUCUUGUAAGCAAGUAUGGACCAACAAAAUGGUCUCAUUGCAAGGUCCUGGAUGUAUAGGCUAGCAAUGUCAAGAGAGUUCUUCUCACCUAUAGCUGAAGUCAAAGACGACAAACCAGGUGAAUUAUUGGAGUUGCAAGAUACACAGAAUCAUCUGUCAUCUGAAUCUUCUUUUGUAAAUAUGACUGCUGGUGCUGCUGAUGGCGCUAGCCAUCGGCUUGGAACUGAUGAGAGUCAACUGCUGUUGCCAACUUGAAACAUAUAUUUUUUAGGUAUGAAUGGCUUACCUCUCCUCCUCUCGCGUCUGGUGAGGCAAUUCGUCCUCGGUUCGUGCCUCUCCUCCUCUCAUGUCUGGUGAGGCAAUUUGUCCCCGCUGGAUUCGUCCGUUUAGAUUAGAAGAAUCGGUCUGAUUUGUCAUUUUGCUCGUUCUCGAUUCGUCUGUCUUGAAGCGCGUCUGAUUCGAUUGAUUUUGCUUGUCCUCGAUUUGUCCGUUUAGAUAGAAAAUCGUGUCGAUGUUGCCCUGAUGCUCUCACAUGUUCUUUGGGUCGUCUAGUCAGGGGUCUGCGACUCUGGGAGGAAGCGGGCGGGCGAGCGGUCGGUCGGUCUGGUUUGCGAACUAACAAGUCUGUUUGAGAAACUUCUGUUCCUACGUUUCGUGCUCACGGUGAGCGAUGGUUCCUGCGUUUACUUGUGUGUGCGCUUCUGUUAUCUGACGAUCCCGCGUUUCGUGUUCGCGUCGGGGCAACGGUUGCAGGAACAAUCGGUUCUGGUUUUGGAAAUUGGAGCAGUGUCGGAUCGCUUCCUCUGUUCCAUCACCUGCGUUGUUCGUCGGUUAUUUUCAUAUCUGAAACGCAUGCACUUGAUACUCUGGUUGCCCUAUGUCAAUUCUUGUUCUACCGACAGGCGUGUGUGCUCCCAUCCUAGAUGCAGAGAAUCUUGUUGUGUCUGUUACGGUUGUUCUGUUGGUGUUCUUUUCAACUGGUUUCUUGUUAUCAUGCUUUGCUUAUGUUCCCAUAUGUCACGAUUGAUUCAUUGUUGUUUGAUUGAUUGCCUUGACAUGGAUUGUUGUUUGUUGUUUGAUUGAUUGCCUUGACAUGGAUUGUUGUUUGUUGUUUGAUUGAUUGCCUUGAGAUGGAUUGUGUUUGUUGUUUGAUUGAUUGCCUUGAGAUGGAUUGUUGUUUGUUGUUUGAUGAUUGAUUGCCUUGAGAAGGUAUGUACCAUGUAGGCCAAUUGAUUGCUGUUUGUUGCCUUGAGAUGUUACAUGUUUAUAUAACACGAUUGAUUACUGUUUGUGUAUGGUUAUUAAGACUGAUUGCUGUUUGUGUAUGGUUAUUAAGAUUGAUUGUUGUUUGUUGAUUGAUUGAUUGUUGUUUGUUGAUUGGUAUCUAACUUUGGUAUUGGUAGUUCCUGAUCAUAGGUAACAGAUCUAACGCUUUUCUUUUUUCUGAACUUUGUUGUGAUUAUUAUAUGCCUUCACAUUGCACUGCUCCCAGAUCCAUAUCGACAUGCCCACGCUGUCUGAUGAGGAUAAAGAUGUAAGGAACUCAUCCCUAGAAUCUCUCAUGCUCCUUGUAUUAACUUGGCGACUAGAUUUACAUGUUAAAUUAUUAUUUUCGUGAAACUGGAGCUCCUUGUUGUAACCCAUUAUAUGACUUUAUGAGCGUGCACCAUUUUCAGGUUAUGAAAAAAUGGGGAAAACAAGAUUGACUUCCUCUCUCUUUCUUAUACAAGGAAUGCAGAAGAUGUGCGUCAAGCACGGGAGUUCCUCUCAAAGUUAGGUGAUCUUAGCCAAGCUCUGAUUUUUGUCAAAAUUGAGAAUGUAGAGAGCUUGAACCAUUUUGAUGAGAUCAUGGAAGAAGCAGAUGGUACAUUUCUGUCAGGAUGAAACCAUGGAAUUAAUUGAUCUUCCACCUGAAAAGGUGCGGCCUGCUAUCAAAGUUAAGGCUUCGGUCGUCAUUUGCUUCACCUCAUCUGGACGGGCUGCAAGGCUAAUUGCCAAGUACAGGUCCACCAUGCCAUUCCUCGUCUAAAAACAAAUCAAUUGAAGUGGAGCUUCACAAGCGCAUUUGAAGCAAGACAAUUACUCAUAGUUAGAGGCCUCUUUCCCAUGCUAGCUAAUCCACAUCACCCGGCUGAAUCUACUAGCACUACAAAUGAAUCAGUGUUGAAGGUUGCUCUUACCUUAGCCAGAAUUUCUAUAAGAAUGUUGCUCAUGUUACAUGCCUUCCUUUCUCUAGUAAGUAGAACAAGAAUACAUUUAAUAUUUCUUUUAUGUCCAUAUGCGUACGCUCAUGAUAUUUUGAAUUAUAAACCAAAUUCUAAAUAAAUAAGCAUGUGUCUCUGUUGUGGGUAGUGAAGAAGAUAAUCACUUAAUGAGCCUCUAACUAGCUUCCUAUUUUCAGGAACGAAGAUCAGUUUACUCAUUCAAGUUCUGGAAUUCUUUAUAACUUUUUGAGUUUACUCCGGUCUUGCAUGUAUUAGCUCUGUUUGUGCCCCUAUCUAUGUCAGUUUCUUGUGUGCAAAGCACUCCUUUAUGUGUGUGUGACUCUGUGUGGCUUGACUGUGUGUGUGUGUCUUGACUGUGUGUGUGUGACUGUGUGGCUUGACUGUGUGUGUGACUGUGUGUGGCUUGACUGUGUGCGCGCUUGACUCUGUGUGUGUGAUUGUGUGUGAAUAUUGCAUUUGCUUGAUGGUGUGGCUUGUAUGCUUUGUUGAAUGAUUGGUUGUAUAACUUGUGUUUUAUAU